Molecule: long non-coding RNA, 618 nt
Filed under: Marmota monax (woodchuck)
Lineage: Eukaryota; Metazoa; Chordata; Mammalia; Rodentia; Sciuridae
Source: RNAcentral
CAGCAAAUGACCUUGAGCAAAUCACUUAGACUCUGAACUCUUAGUUUCCUUGCUGGUAAUUUGAGAAGAAUAAUACCUCUCAGGUUUGUCAUGAGACUUACAUGAAAUGAAGUACGUGAAAGCAUUUUAUAAUCCUCAAAAAGCAUGCAUACAAACAUAAGGGUUUUUAUUCUUGGUUUUUAUCCAACUUCUUUUGGAAUUUAGGCUGUGGCAGAAAAAGUGGAGUGGUGUUCAGUGGUCCUCAGGAACUUCAUAUUGCCCAGCUGGUUACCUAAGCAAAGGGGAAUAUCUGCUCCUCUUACUGCUCAUUAGCUCAAUCUGUCGCUCUGGUCCAUCACCUUCGAAGGCCACAGACUGAUGUUGAAUAAGUUGGCACACAGAGGAAAGGAUGUUAGAGCAUGUCCUCAGUUCCAACUGGCUGUGGUGAUCUUGAAUCAAAAAGUGACAAAUAGGACUCUAGAAAUUACUUUGAGAUCACUUAUUCUCUCUUUCUCAUUUUACAGAGGACUAGAGGGGAAUACAUUUGUGUGAUGUCACUUGCCAAAAUCCUGGCAGAGAGCGCCAGCCCUGGAGGACCUCGCUCCUUCCCGACUGCUCCUCUCUUCCUUGAACCCUGAG